This 31-nucleotide non-coding RNA is filed under the name Homo sapiens (human). Lineage: Eukaryota; Metazoa; Chordata; Mammalia; Primates; Hominidae. The record is from RNAcentral.
AAAGAAGUGCAGUUUGGCCCUGGCAGAGUGG